Molecule: long non-coding RNA, 1017 nt
Organism: Carassius gibelio (silver crucian carp)
Lineage: Eukaryota; Metazoa; Chordata; Actinopteri; Cypriniformes; Cyprinidae
Exons: 3
Source: RefSeq, a predicted model, not a curated record
UUCUUCUCCUGAGGCCCUGGUAAAGAGCAGAAGUAAUGCUGUUUCUGUGCAGGCGGAUCUGCGCUCCAGUCUGGGAGACGCCGGUUACAUCGUGUUCGGUGUGAUUCUGUUCGUCUGGGAGCUGCUGCCCACGUCUCUCGUCGUCUUCUUUUUCCGGGUGCGGAAGCCGGCCCAGGACCGGAGCGGUUCUGUGAUUCCCAGCCAUGUCUUCUCCAACCGGCCGUACUUCUUCGACAAUCCCAGACGCUACGAUAGCGACGAUGAUUUAGCCUGGACUUCCCAUCCGGUGACCGCCUCGACCAGUUUGUCGACGGAUGGCUUCGACUGGAGCAGCAGCAGCUUCCUGGUCCAUCUGGGAGGAGACGAGCCGCGGUCGUCAUCGGCAACCGUGGGACUCAACCGCUAAUGAUGCUACAGCGAUACAGCUCUGCACUUUAAACACACACACACACACACACACUAAUGGACACGAUGCUCUGUAAGUGUGAGUCGCCAUGGCAACUGAGUCCAGAGCAGUGCUCAUCGUCAUGGCGACCGUGGUCAGAGUGAUGAAGCCUCUAAACGAGGCUGUGUUCAGAAUGACACACGAUAAAUUUCACAAUAUUUCUAUUUCACGUUUGAAUUUGCAUUCCAUUGCACACGGCACAACAGAGCAAACACACUCUUGCAAAUCCUGGAGUUUGAUACAAACUAAAAAGUCCAGCAGAGUUUGUUAGAUCACAUUCUGAACACAGUUGAGCGUCUGUUUAGAUUCACAACAUGAUCACAUCUCCAUUGUGACUCCAGUAGUUCCAAUCAGAAUAAUGAAAUAAUGUGUAAGGCAUGCAUUUCUGUUAUUUCAUGUGUUUCUCUUUAGCUGUUGUAAGUUGUCCACUAAGGGUGAAAUGACACAAUAUCUUUAUAUUUAUGAUGAAUAACACUGUAAAUACACUGAUCAUGUGAUUCUCAUUUGUUGAUUUGUGAUGAGGAUGAUGUUCAUCACCUUCCACAAAAAUAAAUCAUCUGCUGUUCAAAUAA